RNAcentral lists this ribosomal RNA (448 nucleotides) under uncultured bacterium. RNAcentral's name for it is "bacterial SSU rRNA". It matches the Rfam family "Bacterial small subunit ribosomal RNA", at positions 29 to 523 of the family's 1533-position model. The record is from RNAcentral.
AACGAACGCUGGCGGCAUGCCUAACACAUGCAAGUCGAACGAGACCUUCGGGUCUAGUGGCGCACGGGUGCGUAACGCGUGGGAAUCUGCCCUUGGGUUCGGAAUAACAGUUAGAAAUGACUGCUAAUACCGGAUAAUGUCUUCGGACCAAAAGAUUUAUCGCCCAGGGAUGAGCCCGCGUAGGAUUAGCUAGUUGGUGAGGUAAAGGCUCACCAAGGCGACGAUCCUUAGCUGGUCUGAGAGGAUGAUCAGCCACACUGGGACUGAGACACGGCCCAGACUCCUACGGGAGGCAGCAGUGGGGAAUAUUGGGACAAUGGGCGAAAGCCUGAUCCAGCAAUGCCGCGUGAGUGAUGAAGGCCUUAGGUUGUAAAGCUCUUUACCCGGAUGAUAAUGACAGUACCGGGAGAAUAAGCCCCGGCUAACUCCGUGCCAGCAGCCGCGGUAA